Molecule: microRNA precursor, 136 nt
Filed under: Chlorocebus sabaeus (green monkey)
Lineage: Eukaryota; Metazoa; Chordata; Mammalia; Primates; Cercopithecidae
Description: miRNA (ENSCSAG00000027662.1)
Source: RNAcentral
CAACAGAAAUUUAUUUUCUCACUAUUCCGGAGGCUGGAAGUCCAAGAUCAAGGUGCUGGCAGACUUGGUUGCUUCGGAGCCCUCUCUCCUUGGCUUGCGGAUGGCUGCCUUCUCUCUGUGUCUUCACAUGGGUCUU